RNAcentral lists this ribosomal RNA (554 nucleotides) under Myxoderma platyacanthum. RNAcentral's name for it is "partial 16S ribosomal RNA". It matches the Rfam family "Bacterial large subunit ribosomal RNA", at positions 1816 to 2556 of the family's 2925-position model. The record is from RNAcentral. Lineage: Eukaryota; Metazoa; Echinodermata; Asteroidea; Forcipulatida; Zoroasteridae.
UGCUCUUUGCAAAAAAAUUUAUGAAUAAAGAGUACUGCCUGCCCAGUGACUGUUGUUAAACGGCCGCGGUAUUUUGACCGUGCAAAGGUAGCAUAAUCAUUUGCCUCUUAAAUAGAGGCUGGUAUGAAUGGCAAGACGGGGGUUUAGCUGUCUCUUUCUUAUAAUCUUGAAAUUAAUAUUCUUGUGAAGAAGCGGGAAUUAAUUCGUAGGACGAGAAGACCCUAUCGAGCUUUAAUGAAUAAAUAUUUAGUAUUAUUACACACGAUAUAUAGCUAAUUAAAAUCAGAGUGAUUUUUACGGAAAUUAUAUAGUAUCUUGUUUUUAUGUAAAUUGAGCAUUUUGAUUGGGGCAAUCAUGGAGAAGAAAAUCCUCCAUUAAGGAAAAUACAGAAGAGACGUUUUUGAUAUAUAAAUCUUAUACAGAAAUGACCCGCUUGAUAAUAAGCGAUUAAAGGAAUAAGUUACCGUAGGGAUAACAGCGUAAUUUUUUUGGAGAGUUCAUAUUGAUAAAAAAGUUUGCGACCUCGAUGUUGGAUCAAGAUUUCCAGGAGAUGC